ACUCCUACGGGAGGCAGCAGUGGGGAAUAUUGCACAAUGGGCGCAAGCCUGAUGCAGCCAUGCCGCGUGUGUGAAGAAGGCCUUCGGGUUGUAAAUGCACUUCAGUUGUGAGGAAAGGUUAGUCGCUAAUAUCGGCUAGCUGUGACGUUAGCAACAGAAGAAGCACCGGCUAACUCCGUGCCAGCAGCCGCGGUAAUACGGAGGGUGCGAGCGUUAAUCGGAAUUACU
Molecule: ribosomal RNA, 228 nt
Filed under: uncultured bacterium
Lineage: Bacteria
Description: partial 16S ribosomal RNA
Rfam family: Bacterial small subunit ribosomal RNA
Source: RNAcentral